GCUGUUGUUGUGAGACAGGUUAGUGUGGAAAGGAUUUUUCAUCUUACCAUCAUUUGUGAUUGAUUUGACAUUUGUUGUUGCCUUGUAUUAUGCCACAAUGAAGAGAAACACAUUCUGAAUAACUGGGAGGUUUACCUUACGAACUGGGUGUUUUCCUUUUAGAAAUCCACUGUCCAACCGCUGUUGCCCGGGUUACUUACAGAUGUAAUAGACAAGGCACAUGAACGAAUAUCACGCCUUCUCCUCAUUGUAGAAGUUAUCAUCUUGGGGAUUGCGUCUGUUGUGAUGCUGCGUGGUGGCUUCAUGGUGAAAUUUGGCAGGGAGAAUGUCACGUCCUCACGUGAGUAUCAAAGUUAUUUGUUCACUUUGUUUGUUAGUUUUUUCAACUGAGUGUCACCGAACUACAGCGAACAUUGUUUUCAUAUUUGUUACGUUUUAACGUUUCUUCUUUCUGACGCUAGACUGAAUUAGUUAGUAACACCCUAAAAAAUGAUCAAUUUAUUCGGUCGUAAGCUCAAUGCCUCAAUGGUUGAGGCGCUAUCGCUUACUUCCGGUAUACUUCCGGAAAAUUUGCAUAAAACUAGCAAGUGGGCUUUGUUCUCUGCACAAUUCUAAAGACUCCUUGCCAGUUUAAGCAAACUGAAAUUGUCAUUUUUGAUUACUUUUGUGACUAUCUAAGGCCGUCCUUUAUUAGAUAGUGAGUUUUAGACGUGUCGAAUAGAUGGCGUGAAAGAAUAUUAUGUUGUCAGAUAUGGGCUUAUUACGGCAGCUCGUUGUCUAAAGUUCAGCUACCCAGCAACAGCGGGUUCUGUUCUGUUCUUUUCUUCGAAAAUUACAAAUGAAUUCAAAAUGUGAAAGGAGCGAGAUGCAGCCUACUGUCAACUAUUGUGUUAAAAAUCCUGGUAUCAUCCUACUGAAUAUGUCAUCCAAAUGACAGAGGUGGAUUCAUCAGAAAUAUUGGCUGAUUCUAUUGGACUUGCUAGAUCGUUUUAUCCCUAGAAUGGACCAAUCUUUCAUUCAAUCUUCUAGAGAACCUUGGAUAACUGAUUGGUGGUUUUGUGUGUUUUAAACUAUAGGUAUUUAAAUUUGCACGACGUCCUUCAACGUUCUUGGACUGACGUCAGUCAGCAAGGUAGGCUACCUUGUUUGAUAACCUGUUGGCUGCUUCCCUUGAAUCUCCCUUUUUACUUCUUUAAGCUUGAUUUGAGGGUACUCCUUCACUACUUAUCAUCAACUUCAUCCAUUGGUGAUGCUGUAAUUCAAGACUGAUAAAUUAGUUAGUCAGAUAAAACAAGUGCAUAUCUGGGCUCCCUUCUUUUCUGUGGCCCUGUUUCCCUAACUAACCACUAACCA
This 1353-nucleotide long non-coding RNA is filed under the name Daphnia pulex (common water flea). Its description in RNAcentral is "uncharacterized LOC124190849, transcript variant X1". Lineage: Eukaryota; Metazoa; Arthropoda; Branchiopoda; Diplostraca; Daphniidae. The record is from RNAcentral.